ACGGGAGGCAGCAGUGGGGAAUAUUGCACAAUGGGGGAAUCCCUGAUGCAGCGACGCCGCGUGAAGGAAGAAGUAUCUCGGUAUGUAAACUUCUAUCAGCAGGGAAGAAAGUGACGGUACCCGACUAAGAAGCCCCGGCUAACUACGUGCCAGCAGCCGCGGUAAUACGUAGGGGGCAAGCGUUAUCCGGAUUUACUGGGUGUAAAGGGAGCGUAGACGGAAUGGCAAGUCUGAUGUGAAAGGCGGGGGCUCAACCCCUGGACUGCAUUGGAAACUGCCAGUCUUGAGUACCGGAGGGGUAAGCGGAAUUCCUAGUGUAGCGGUGAAAUGUGUAGAUAUUAGGAGGAACACCAGUGGCGAAGGCGGCUUACUGGACGGUAACUGACGAUGAGGCUCGAAAGCGUGGGGAGCAAACAGGAUUAGAUACCCUGGUA
Molecule: ribosomal RNA, 434 nt
Filed under: uncultured Blautia sp.
Lineage: Bacteria; Bacillati; Bacillota; Clostridia; Lachnospirales; Lachnospiraceae
Description: bacterial SSU rRNA
Rfam family: Bacterial small subunit ribosomal RNA
Source: RNAcentral